Cavia porcellus (domestic guinea pig) is the source of this 70-nucleotide non-coding RNA. Lineage: Eukaryota; Metazoa; Chordata; Mammalia; Rodentia; Caviidae. The record is from Rfam.
UUUCCAGAGGAGAUUAGCAUGGCCUCUGUACUAGGAUGACAUGGACAUUUGAGAAGUAUUCCAUAGUUUA